GCUGGAGAAGGUCCCAAGGGUUCGGCUGUUCGCCGAUUAAAGUGGUACGUGAGCUGGGUUCAAAACGUCGUGAGACAGUUUGGUCCCUAUCUGCCGUGGGUGUAGGAAUAUUGAAAGGAUUUGUCCCUAGUACGAGAGGACCGGGAUGAACGUAUCUCUGGUGGAUCGGUUGUCGCGCCAGCGGCAUAGCCGAGUAGCUAAAAUACGGAAAAGAUAAACGCUGAAAGCAUCUAAGCGUGAAACUUACCUUGAAACAAGUAUUCCCCGAGAGUCGUGAUAGACCAUCACGUUGAUAGGCCGGAUGUGGAAGCGCCGCGAGGCGUGUAGCUUACCGGUACUAAUAACUCGAUAGGCUUGAUCCU
This 362-nucleotide ribosomal RNA is filed under the name Alphaproteobacteria bacterium. RNAcentral describes it as "partial 23S ribosomal RNA". It matches the Rfam family "Bacterial large subunit ribosomal RNA", at positions 2552 to 2925 of the family's 2925-position model. The record is from RNAcentral. Lineage: Bacteria; Pseudomonadati; Pseudomonadota; Alphaproteobacteria.